RNAcentral lists this long non-coding RNA (15081 nucleotides) under Homo sapiens (human). Its description in RNAcentral is "HSALNT0359117". The record is from RNAcentral. Lineage: Eukaryota; Metazoa; Chordata; Mammalia; Primates; Hominidae.
CACAGCGCAGGAGCUCUCAGACUACCUCAGAUGCCAAGAGCCUGGUUUGAAUACAAGCCUUGCCAUUGUGUGACUUUGGGCCAGUGUUUCCAGCCAUCAUGUCAGAGCUGAGUGGAGUGGCACUGGGUGCCAAGGCAAACACCCAGCCCAGCUGUGCUGGGAAGAACUGAGCUCCAAUGUGUCUUGUGACCCAGCUCCUCCCACCCACCUGGCUGUGUCUCCUAUCCUGCAGAGAUUUCUGGGGGCUGUUUCCAGUAAACAGAGUGCCAGCACCCACUAACCUGUAAAUAGCACCUUGUUCAGGGGGAGUGAUAUUCUUUGGUAAGUGACCGUAAACUGAUUAUACCAAGUCCUUCAAUGGAGAGAUGGUGGUUAAAAAGCAAAACUGAGGCUGGUAAAUUUUUACCAUUUCUUUGUAGACUGUAUGAUUUGGGGCCUUGCUGCUCAAAAUGUGGUCAGCAGCAUUGACAUCACCUGGGAUCUCAUUACAAAUGCAGAAUCUCAGACCUCACUCCAGAUGUGCUGGAUGAGAAUGGCCAUUUUCACAAGCUCCCCAGGAUAUGUGUGCCUGUUAAAGUUUGAGAAGCACUGAUCGGAGGACUUCGGUUAUAAUCCCACCUCCUUCUAUAAGUGAUUAAAGAAAAUUCACUUAUACUCUCCUUUGAACAGCUGUAUGCUUCUCAAUUUCUCUCUCUCUCUCUCUCUCUCACACACACACACACACACACACACUUUAUUUUUCAAUCUCUAUAGACUUGCUUCUUUGUAAGGCUCUCAAUUUCUCCUCCCCAGUGACACAAGCUUGCAUGUGGAUAUAGCUCGUCAUGGUGCCUAUUUAUCUUCAACUUUAUGCAACCUUAGCACUCUUUUACUCAGAAACCUUUUGACUGGGAGAGCAGGGCAAACUCAAAUCCCUACAGAGACCAGGAAGGCAGCAUGGAUGAGUGCAGAAAGCUACAUUUGUUUCAGAAAGGAAUCAGUGUAUAUUCUUUCAGCAGACACAUUUAGUUUGUUUCUUAUAAGCCACUAGAAGAGUCAUUACUUUCACAAAGUCAUAUGCUUAUUCCCAUUUUUCAUAAAAUAUGGCCUAUCUUCAGUUUUCCCAGUUUUGAUACAGAAAAAAAUAUAAGAAAGAUUUUCUAUUUCCUAUAACUAUAAAAGCCCACUAAUAGCACCAGCACAGCCACCCCUGGGCUUCACACAGGGAGUGGCAGGAGCUGUGCAGAUGGAGAGUGCAUACUGGUGUGAAGGGGGCAAUGGAUCUCAGCUCCAGCCAUUGUCUUCAUGCAGGAAUUUGGGACCAUUUUACCGGAUCCUCCCAUUUCUUCAAGAGAAGCCGGAAAUCUGGAUUUCUAUGUGAAAUCUCCCACUUUUUUAUGCUGGCAACUAAUUUUCUUUAAACACUGUGCCAAACAAAACAUACCUGCAGGCCAAAAUCUACACCCUCUGGGCUGGAUUUCAAUGUCUCUUAAACUCUCAACAGAGAGCAUCUUACUGUUUCAGUUCAGGGUAGAUGUCUACCCAUGGUCCCAUCGAGUGGGGUCUGGAUAUGGAAUCAGCUAGAAGAAGCAUAGUCUAUGCCCAUUCUUUCAGCAGGGACUGUGGGCAGGAAACCAUUUCCAAAGAAGCAGGCAUGAGUUGGUGGCCAUACAAAUAUAUAUGUUAUAUUGAUAAAUAUAAAAACAGGAGAUUCUGGGGGACCACAAGUUUUUACAAAUUAGGCUUAUUUUAGGAUAAAUUCACCCUUGUUAGUGUGCAGUUCUGUGAGUUUUGAUAUACAUAUGCAGUCAAGUAACCACUCCCACAAUUAAGAUACAGAAUAAUUCCAUCACCCCCCAAAUUUCUUGUAUGCCCCUUUAUAGCUAGCCCCUGACCCUAACCUCUGGCAAUCACUAAUAUAUUCUCUUUUUCUAUAGGCUUGCUUUUUUUCAAAAUGUCAUAUACAUGGAAUCACACAGUUUAUAGCCUUUUGAGUCUGGCUUAUUUUACUCAGCAUAAUGCCUUUGAGCUUUAACCAUGUAAUUUCAUGUAUCAGUAGUUCAUUCCUAUGUAUUGCUAAGUAAUUUUCCACUGUAUAGAUGCACCACAGUUUGUUUAUCCAUUCACCAAUUAAAGCCAUAAUCAACUUCCAUGUAGAAGUUUGUGUGUGAACACAGUUUUAAUUUAUUUGGGGUUACUACCUAGGAGUGAGAUUCUGGGUCUUAUGGUAAGCAUACAUUUUACUAAGAAACUAUAAAACUCUUUUCCAAAGUGGCUGAACCAUUUGACAUUUCUAACAGCAAUAUUUGAAAGUUCCCAUUGCUCUGUAUCCUCUCCAGUACUUACAUGCUCAGCAUUUUGGUUUGGUCUGGUUUCAUUGUUUCUGAGCUCUUCUGAUAGAUGUGGAGUACACCCCCAUUUUGGAUGAAUUGUGCCAAAUGUGUAGACCAUCCUCAAAAUCUAAGGUCUCAGUAAAAACAAUUAAACAUGAUUUCUGAUAUAAUGUCUUAUCCUUGAAAACCCUGACCCAUCCAUCUUCAGCACAUUCACAUGUGUAAUAAGGUAAGUGAUUUUUAAUUCCACCAGGUUUAAAGACCCCUGACGUGACUUAUUGCCAUUCUGCUACUGAGCCUUGAGAGAUUAUGGUAAGUGCCAAGAAAAAAAAAAUGACUUUGAACUGCUCUUUCACCAGUUAAAAAUAACACUGAAACCAAAUGUAAACAUAAAAGAAGUGGUCAGAUUCGGGUUACAUAUUAACGGUGUUUGGUCAGGCUGGAGCUGAGGCACAGCAGCAGAGAAUGCCUUUUACUUAUCACUGUUUCCAAACCUCCCUACCUGGACUAGGCUUGACUGGAUUUACAAGAGACCUUUUGAAAAGAUGCAGAGAAGGCAAGCAGCACACAUUUCCUGGUAAUAAAUUUUAAAGGUUGCUAAAACAUUCCAGAGAUUUUCACUCAACAUUCCUCUGGCCAACACAUCUGCAAUCUGCCAAUCCUUAAAAAUAGGUGUUUUUGCAUUUUAAUCUCACAAACAUCUUUGAAAAUGCAUUUCUUCUCUGCCCCUGUGUUGGACAAAUCCAGCUUUUUCCAUUUUCUAAAAACCACAGAAAUAUAAUGCUGCUUAAUUCAUACAAGACUGAGCUAACUGGAGUUAAAAUAAAAUUUCUGAGAGUUUGUUUGGCUCACUCUUCCCUACCAGAUGAUUCCAUUCUUAAAACGGUCCUGUGAUUAUAUUCUCUCAUUACAGAGGUGUCCAGAAAAAAAAUAAGGAGUGCAGUUCUGAAAUUAUAUAAAAGCAAAAUUAUUACUCUAAACGUAAGAGCUGUGAUAGAUCGUGUCAUUGACCAUGGUUCUUUUCCCCUGACACACACGUCCCCACCACCCACCCACUGUAUCCAUAUGCCUUUUGCCAUAUGACUUUGCAGCUCUCCCCACUAAAGGGGCAGCCAUGCGAUUUGCUUUGGCCAAUGAAAUGAGGCAGUAGUGGUGGUAUCCUAGUUCUGAGCCUAGGUCUCAAGAAGUCUUAUGUGUUUCUGCUUAUCCUCUUAUACCUCUGCCAUCACCAUGAGCCAAACAUCCCCCAAGUAGCCCACUGGUCCCAGGACAAGGAGGGAGACAUGAAGCAGAGCUCAUCCAGCUGCUGCAGCCCCACUUGACCCAGAGACCUACACUGGGAAGCAGAGCUGCCCAGUCAAGUCCAACCUGGAUGUGUGGAACCCCAGCCAACCUGAUGCAUGAGCACUCACGGCAUUGGAAGACAUCAUAAACAUUAAUGGAGAGCGGGAUGCCAGAAUAAGUUGAUCCAAAUGAUGCAGGAAUAUUUAGCAGCAAGGAGAAAGGAAUUCACAUUUCUCAGUACCCACUAUGUGCCAUACUUUGUGAUAAGAUGGUUUCCCUCCAAUAUAUCCUCAUUGUCAGCAAUGUCGGGAAACAGGAAUCAUUUCCCCUUCUACAGGUGAUAAAACUGAAGCAAGAAACAUACAGGCUAACAUCAGCUGAGCUGAGAUUUGAACUCCACUCUUUUUGACCCUGGAGCUGAUGAAUGCUGCUUCUAGAGGUUGAGUAUCCCUUAUCCGAAAUCCUUGGAACCAGGAGAUUUUUGGAUUUGGGAAUAUUUGCAUAUACAUAAUGAGAUAUCUUGGAGAUGGGACCCAAGUCUAAAUACAAAAUUAUUUUGUUGUAUAUACACCUUGUACACAUAGACUGAAGAUAAUUUUAUACAAUAUUUUAAAUAAUUUUGUGCGUGAAACAAAGUUGUGACUAUGUCUUGACUGUAAGACAUCUUGCAUGCAACCCAUCAUAUGAGGUCAGGUGCAGAAUUUUCCAUUUGUGGUGUCAUGUUAGUGCUCAAAAAUUUUCGGAUUUUGGAGCACUUCAGACUUUCGUUUUCCAGACGGGGGAUGCUCAACCUGUCUUAGAACCUGUGGUCUCCCAUCAUGCCUCCCUUCCCCAUUCCCUUGCUCCACUGGGGUCUGAGGUGGGAAAGCAAAAGGAGUUGCAGGUAACCCUCACUUUUCACACCAGGCAAUCUCUCCCCACAAUCUGUCACAUUCCUGAAGAACAAGGAAGCAGAGCACUCCACUGAAGAAAUUCUGUUAAAAUCUAUCCCCAACGUAUAAGCAUCCAUCUUUGUCCCAGUCUGGGUCUAACAUGAACAAAGUGCUUAAACAAUUCAGUAGAGGAGAAAGGGAACUUGGAGCAGCUCUGUCACCCUGAAGUGACACUGCCAUGCUGCAUUUCCUGUCUGUAAUAUCUCUUCAGAGCAAUUGUUUUCUUCUGUGAGGACACUUCAGAGAUUCACAGAGACAGAUGCUCUUGUGACUGACCAUAGCAAGUAUCAAAAGGCCUGGGUGGAAUUACGAAGCAUUUCUCGUGCACUGCGUAUUGGGAAGUGCUUCACAGCUGUGUGGCAGAUGUGAGUGGACAGAGGGGCAAGGGAACUGCCCCAAAGGAGGUGGCAGAGGAAGCAACAAGCCAGGGAUUGGCUGGCCGGUCCCAGCACAGCAACUGCAGCAGCAGCUUGCUAAGUUUCACAGGUGAAGCCAAAGGCUGGGGGGAAUGGAAAACAAAUAUCACUCCAUUAAAUUAAGGUCUGAGGAAAACAUGAUGAGGAAAGUCAAUAGUGAAUCAAAACAUUGAAAAGCCACUAACUUUGACUUUCCAUGUGCGUGUGCAAGUUCACGUGUGCAUGUGUGUCUGCAUGUCCAAGUUCUACACUGAUUCAAGAAAUAAUUAUAGAGGGCCUGCCAUAGGAUGGUGAGCAAAACAGUCUUGGCCUCUGUCCUGAUGGAGCAUGCAGUAUCACAGACUCUAUAUGUUCUAUUUCUAGGCCUUGUAUUUUGAGGAUAUAUGCCAGUGGAAUGAGAAUGGCUCUGUGACCUUGUUUAAGUCCCACCACUGUCUCAGGCAGGGUUUUCCAAAGUGUAGUCCUUAUACUAUUAUGUGGUGAAGAUGCUUAAUUGUUUUGUAAUUAUUUAAUGUGCGUAGGUAUCACAUCAAACCCAGUAUUUUCAAGGAUUUUUAUAGCUUAAGACAAGGCUUGUUAUAGGCAAGGUGGAUCAAUUCAAAAAAUAUAUGCUAACAAAAUAAUAGUGGAGGUGGUACAAAGAAACAGCAAAGGUAGUGAGAUGGCUUCACUGGUGUUUGUGAAUCACCAAGAUAAUGCACGUGGAAAUAAAAAUCAGUGUGGUCCAUAGAAAUACAAGGGGUUCUAAUUACCCCUCAGUGAGCACUUGCUCUCUCACUCACCCCAGCAAUGACAUAUUAAGCAAAGCACUGCCCUGACUGCAUAUGCUCUUGCCGACAACUUGGCCAGCAUUCAGAAGACACUAAGUGUGCUCUGGGAACUUCAGAAGGCACUAACAUUCCAUGGAGAACUUCACAAAGAGUGAGACCUAGUCCCUGGCCUAAAGAGAGUAUAAUUUAGUAGGAAAGAGAAGACAAACACACAAAUAACUGUAAAAUGGGAUAAGCCCCAAAGUGGAGGUACAAAGUCCCAUAGAAGAGGCUCAAUGAUAAGUCACGCCUGCCGGGUAAGGUCAAGAAAGACUUCAUGGAGAUUUGAGAUGGCAUCUGAGAUAAGCCAGGAAAGACGGUAGAAUUUCAACAACCAAAAAAGUGGGGAGAGGGAUGGGAGGCAUUCCAGAGAAGGAGAAAUGCUUGAGCAAUGGUACAGAGACCAGGAAGUUAUAUGAGGGCAGAAAGUCCCUGCUGUCUAUUUAGCUGGGAUAUAGAAUGCAAGUCAGUUAGAUGAUUAGGUGGGGUUAUAACAUAACUAGCCUUAAAUAGUGGACUGAGAAUUUUCCACUUAAUUUAAUGCAAAUGGCAGGGGAGGGGGCAGGCAAUGGAGAGCUGAAAACAGGACUGGAGAUGCGCUGGAGGGAAGUAACCCUGGAAAUGGGUGAAGUACGGGUUACUGUCACCCCAGCUCUGGUUCUUGUUAUUCCCUAGGAGAAGCAUAAUAGAAGUGUGAAUUUAGGGUAGCCAAAUGAUGACUUUGCAGAGGGAAUCUUUAGGACUUGUGACUUGAUUAAAAGCAGGGAGAUGGAUAGGGAACGUCCAAGGAUAACUAGAUAACUAGAGCUCUCCUGUUCCUCUGACUCAUGUGUGCUGAAACUGUAGAGUCAAACAAACACUUGUAAGUGGCGUGAUGUAAAUCCCUUAGGGGCCCAUGCCUGCCUCAAGAGAAGAACGUGUGGUCAGGAAAAACGACCGGGGGAAGUGAAAACGACACAAGACCCAGAGGAUAACCCUUAUUUUAUUCACACAUGCAAAUUUAGGCACAGCAAAAAGCAAAACGAAGUAUACCAAAUGUCAAGGGUUAAUUAUUAAUCAUUUCUAUAUUAAAUUAUGAGUUUUUCAGUAAGACACUUUUUGAUAAGAAACUUGAAUUACGUUCAUAACCAUCAAAAUAAAGAAAAUAAAAGAGACAGAUUUUCUUUGGUGGUGGGAGAACAUUAAGUAUUGUGGAAGCCUGAAAAAUGGUCCCCAAAAGAAUCUGGUCCUAAUCCUUAGAACUUGUGAGUAUUAUCUUACUUGGAAAAAGGGUUGUUUUAAGAUAAGGAUCUUGAGUUGGGAAGAUUGUCCUGAGUUAUUCAGGUAGGCUGUAAAUGCCAUCACAGGCAACCUUUUUACAUGGAUAUUUGACACAGAGUGGAGGAGACACCCAUAGGAGAAGGCUAUGUGAAGACAUAGCAUCGAGACACUUGAAGAUAUUGGCCUUCAAAUGGCACAGCCACAAGCAAAGGAAUGCCAGCAGCCACCAGGAAAAAGCAAAGAAUGGAUUCUCACCUAAAGUCUCCAGAGGGACUGUAGAGUAUCCUGCCAACACCUUGAUUUUGACUCUGUGAAACUGAUGUCAGGCUUCUGGCCUCCAGAACUGUGAGAGAAGAAAUUUCUGUUGUUUUAAACCUUCGAAUUUGUGGUAAUGUGUUAGAGCAGCCACAGGAAACUCAUAUUCUAAACUAGCAACUAUGAAAUGAGAAUUUCUAGUGUUCAGCUAAGAUACCACCGCAGAAGCAGCUGGAUAAUAUCAGAUGAGCCGAAAACUUCUCUUACCCCAUUUCCUUAUCCAUAAAAUUAGCAAAUAAUACCUGUCUUGCAGAGUUAAUUUUAAAGUUAUACAAGUAAAUACACUUUGAAAGUGACAAGUACUAGAAAAAUGUAGGGAAUUAUCCUACAAGUCUGGGUAUCCCCACCACCCAAGGCACAUGAAUGAUGCACAAUAAAAUAUACAAUUGGUUAGAAAUAGAACAAAGUGUUGAAAGUGCUUCAAAGCUCGAAAUGUAGGGCAUGAGGAAUGAAGGAAAUUCAGUUCAGGAAUAAAAUAUUUAUUCAGCAUCACUAAUAAGCCAGGCACUCUGCCAGAACCCAAAGGUAUAAAGAGGAACAAAUGAUAAUUCCUGCCCUGUGGAUGGCUUAUAGUCUAGGGUAGCAUUUUUACAGUGUGUUCACAGACCACUAAGCUCUCAAAUUUCUAUUUAAAGAUGCCAAAGGACCCAAGAUCAAGUGCUAUAUUCUAAUAUCUACCCUCUCCAUUUCCUACCCCCUCCCACAACCACACUUUCUGUAGACUCACAAUGUGUUAGUUAAUUUAAGGCAUUGAGUCCUGUUGUUAAUAAGCUGACUUGCCCUUAAUUAUCACAGGCUUUUCCAAAUUUCCUUGACAUGCACUAACCAUUUAACCUUGGGGAAAAGAAUGGAAUAACAUUCUUGCCUGCCUGUUGUAGCUGUCAUCAUAUUUAAAUGUAAUAAAACAUGGAAAGUGUUUAAUAAUUAUGGUGCUCUAGGCAAAAUAGCAGUCCUUCAAAAAUGCCCAUGCCCUAAUCUCCAGAACCUGUGAAUAUGUUACCUGACAUUGUAAAGCAACCUUGUAGGUGUGAUUAAAGUUACAAGCUCUGAGAAGAGAAAAUUACUCUGGAUUAUCUGGGUGGGCCCAGCUUAAUCAUAUGAACCCUUAAAAGUGGAGAAUGUUUUCCAGCUAAGGUCAGAGAAAGAGACUUGACAAAGGAAGAAGGGUCAUAGGGAUGUGAUACCGCUAGCUUUAGAGAUGAAGGAAGAGGACCACAGCCAAGAAAUGUGGGUAGCCUCUGAACACAAUACAAGGCAAGGACACGGGCUCUCUCCUUGAGCCUCUAGAAGGAGCACAGCCAUAAGGCAUUCUUAAACUAUGUCGCUUACCUUACCUACCUCAUCCACUUACUACUUGUAUGGCUAAUGGCAUGAGGAAGUCACUAAAACUCUCCGAGCCUUCCUGGCCUCCACUUAAAUGGGAGUGGUACCCACAGAGGGUCAGGAGGCUCAAUCAAAUCUCAAAUUCAUUAUCUCUUGCUUCUCAUGCACAAGUCAGUGUCAGCAGGAGGCAUCAGUGCUUCUGCAAAAAUAACUAAUUCAACAUUACUUUGUCAGAUCACAACCCUUCUUUGCUAAAACCUUCCAGAGGCUCCCUGUCUCACUCACAGAACAACCUCAUGGACUUCCUCUGUUCUCAGGAUUCUCAUGACACAAUAUGACCCCAUUUCCUCUGACUAUAGGUCCUUCCUCUCUCCCCCUUCCUGAUGGUGCUCCAGCCAUACUGGCCACCUUGCUGUUCCUGAGGCACACCAGGCAGCUUCCAGCCUCAGGACAUUUGCACUUGCUGUUUUCUCUGCUUAGAGCCCUCUUCCCCCAUAUCCACAUAGCUUGCUCCCUCAACUCCUUUAGAUCUUCAUUCGGCUAUUACCUUCUUCCUGAGGCCUUCCCUAACAACCCUAUGAAAAUUGCAAUACCUGCCAGCCAAACAUUCCCCAUCCUCCCUUCACUUUAAUUUCCGCCAUAGUAAUUUCAUCUUCUCACAUGCUGCAUAUUUAACUGUUUUGUUUACUUUCUUUCCUCCAUUGGAAUAUAAGCUCUAUCAGGGCUUUUCAUGAAGGACAUGCAAGUAGAUGCUUGAUAAAUAUUUGUUGGAUAAAUAAAUCAGUGCAUAUACCAAUCUGAAGUCACAAAAUCAAUAUGAGCAUCACCUUCCACUAAAGACAUAUCCUUUCAGUUAUCGAUGAAAAAUGAAGUUGAAAACACAAUAAUCAGCCUGUCAUUGAACAAUGCAGCUGCAGCUAAGAUCAAGUUCUUGACUGACUUUGCCGAGCCCAACCAAUUCAAAGGAAGAAUAAAAACAUGGUCAAGGGACCCAAGACCCAGCUCUUAUCCCCUACUCAGAGAAAACCCAGAGAGAACCAGCCUUCUGAUGUCUUGUCCUUCCUGGUUUUGACCAACCUCUAAAAACCAUAAGAACAGUUUGUCUCAGUAUUUCAGUACUUCCGCUUCCAGGCCCAGGAAAGAGCAGGAAGUGCAGGGGCGUGUGAAAAUCAAGAAAAAAGAAGAAUUAAACCCGCUACACAUGAAGCGCUCAAAGACUUCCUCUGUAACCUGUUGCAGCACACGAGUUUCAAUGUGCUUUCACUGAGAGCCCAGGGGGACUGUGCUGUCCCCAGAAUUUCGCACCAUGCCCCACACUCUCAAUGAACACUUGUUGCCUAAAAAAAAAAAAUUAAAUUUUAAGACCUUCAGUUUCUCUAUUUGUAUAAAGUGAUUAUAAAACCUACCUUAUGGAGCUGUCUGAUGAUCACAUAUGAAAUCGCAUAUGUUAAGUGCUUAUGCAGCGUCUGGCACAUGAUCAGCAUUAAUUUUAUGUGAACUGCCAUUUUGAUGGCAGUGGUGGCGAUCUGAUGGUGGAGGAGGUUUAGUUAGCGCUGGGUAGAUUGUAACAUAUACCUAUCCUUAAUGAUUUGUUCAACCUGGAAUUUUGGACGGAGCCUGGGCCUGAGGAGUUGAACCUUAGAGUGAUCCAUUUCUCUUGGAAAAGUCCUGUUCAGUUUGAGCAAGAAACUCUGGAAAGGGGAAGGAUGUAUUUUAAUCCCAGCUACCAGGGUGACAGGCAGCAGAACUGAAACAGCAUGACUAAGCACAGACCAUCUCCUUUCAUUACAUGGGGGGCUGAGGUCUUUCCUCUCUACUGCCAGGGACUGGAGAAAGGAAAGAUACCCAGUUUAAUUGCAUCUGAUAAACGGAUAGUAAAGUCCAAGAGUAGACAAUUGGAAUAUUUCCCCAGCCUUUUUCCUGUUAGGUUCUCAAAGCUAGAAAAAAAAUGCUGAAUGUCUUUUCCCUAACUUCAUAUCGCCAUAUGAAGCCCAGCUAAGUUUCCCUUGAAGUUCACUAGCCCAUUUCCUCUGUAGGUCUACAGGGGCCACCUGCCAAUGUGCAGGGAUUAAAUGAAGAAAUAAAGACCUAAGGCCUUUCUAGAAGCUAAAAACCCUAGGACUCCCUAAACACUUUGGAGUUGCAGCUCCCAUUGGUUAAGAGGUAUGGAUCGCAUAGUUUCAAGCUGAGCCAUGCUUUUCGGAAUACUCUGCUUUUUCUCAUCUUUUUCCACUAUAGUAAUACUAUAAAUGAGAUCUCUUCCAGAAAUAAAGGCAGAAAGCCCCAAGCUCGAUGCUAAAGAUGUUUGUGACAGAGUUCUGCAAGAAUAGGAUAUUUGCAGUCUCGUCUGCGAUAAUCAUUUCAGAAGUGGCUGCUGAUACUGGUAGGUAUGCAGUCAGCAAUUGUGGUGGAAACGGGGAAUGUCUGCUCAAAGAGACAGAAUGUGCAAUGACUCAAAUGAUUUCCAGCAAUUGUCAAUACUAUUUGAUGUUAGUCAUUUAUGCUACCUUUUUCUUAUUUAUAGAUUCCUAGCUUUAAAUUAACCUCCCUGAUAUAUGGAAGUAAUUUGGUCAGUAAUAAGUUCCUUUGUUUUGGGUUUUUUGUUGUUUUUUUUUUUUAGGACUAUGUGGCAGAGGAGACUCCUGACUUUCACUUCUCUAAAUAACCAACAACUCCUCACUGUCCCUGUGUAAAGCUAUCAUGGCUGUGGGGAAGGAGAGACACUUCAAGGACAGCUCAGAGCAAAGUACCAGUUUAAAAUCUUCUCACGAGAAGAGCAGCAUCCUUCACUCAUUUGUCCUUUCACUGAGGGUGCACUACAUGUACUCACUGUGCUAGAUAUUGGGAAUACAGGGCUGAGUGAGACAUGGGCAGACUCCCUGAGAGGUAACACUCAGACUACAUCUCAAAGGAUAACUAGAUAUCCGCCAAUCAAGAUGGAGCAGCAGGCCAGGUAUACAGGCUCAGCAUCACUUUGGGCGUUGCUUUAUCUUAAAAAGCUGCCUGAACCACUUAAAGGGACCCACUGCUGCCUUCAAAAGAGUACAGUGAUAUGCAUCUUCCUGAGGUCUUUCUAAGCCACUUCUGGAGCUAGAUAUAUGUUUCUCAGAUGUCUCUGAAACAAGGUUUCCAGGCAACUACAUCUGAGGCCAUUGGUGCUGCAAUAUGACUGAAAGGAAAGAGGGUGUGUACUUCAACAGCCUUGCUGUAAGCAAGGUGGCUUCAUCCCCUCCCCCCACCUGAAAUUGAGAAACACAGAAGUGACCACAGUCCUAGGCCACUGUGUGCAAAAAUGGGAAAUGUCACUCAUCAGGUCCUCUCCCACGUUUAACCAGAAUCAUCAGCCUAUAGAUUCGGGAACUGAGUGGCUUGACCAUUUUGCACGUAAGCCAUAUGCAAUUGGUCCAAAGGAGACCAGUGAGCAACAAUUCAAUUUAGAGUUCACUGAACUCUCUGGUUUGGGAAGGAAAUUGCUAGUAAUCAAUUGCAGCAAGCAUACAGGCUCAGGGCCAGGAAGAGAAAAAUCACUUUAAUGGGCAAAGCAGAUGUUGCUAAAUUCAUUGCAAAAGUGAGAUGGGCACAGAGCCAGGCCUUGCAUGAGAGAUGCUGAUCUGUUCUCCUGAAUGAACAAAACAGAGACAUUUCAAAAAGGGGGGUUUCUAUGAAAGAAGCCAGAGGUCUGUGUCCCUGUUAGAGUAAAUAAAAGAAAAUGCACCCAGGUGUUCAGGUCCCCCAUACCACCACAGGACUUAAAGUUGUUAACAUCUUACGAGGAUUUUUAAACAAAUCCAGAAUACUAGCAAAAACUGCCUGGGGAGUCUUCAUUCGGUUCUAAGGAGAGUAUGUGGUAGAGUAGAGAGAACACGGGCUUUGGCAUCAGAUCUGUUUCUUCCAUGAAUUAGUUGCUUCCACCACCAAGAAGUUGUAUGACUUGGGCAAAGUUCUUAACACCUCUCAGUCUCAGUUUCCUCCACUGUAAAAUGGGCCUAAUGUCAUUUACCUUAUUAGAGCAGUUGUGAGGACUAGUGAUAAUGUCUGUAAAGUAUGGUAGAGAAAUGCACUUAAGCAAUAACAUGUUUUCAGAACCAUGAAAAGACUAGUGACACUAGGAUGUGGGGAGAAUUGGUUAAUGACAGGGCAGGGUGGGGUGGGAUGGGGAGAAUUUCUGGCCCAAUAUUGACCAGCUUUGGCACGUGCUCUUGGUGAAGGAUUACUUCACAGGUCACAUGUUUCUUUGCAUGCUUAGGCUGAUAAAACAUCUCUCAAGAAUAUAAGAGCUCAGCAAGUGUAGGAGCAUAGCCCAAGAAAGGUCACUGUGUGUACUUAGAACAUUUUCAUGGAGUAGCUUCAAAUGCAAGCCUCCUAAAAGAGAGUUGAUUCUGAUUCCCCAAAUCUGAAAUGUUCUUUACUUACCUAAUUCCCACUCAUCCUUCAAGGCCCAACCAGAGUCCCUCCUCUGAGAAUCAUCCCAAAUUCCUCUGGAGCUCACCAUCUCUACCUACUCACAUAUUGCCCAGUUUAUAUCAGCUGCCUUCAAUCCUUCCUGGAACAAGACAUUAAUCCCAUUCAGUAAAAACUUUAAAUGCUACUUACUCAAUUCUUUGGCCUGUCAUAGUAAAGUGUCAUACACUGAUCAUCACCUGAAUCAUGUGGUUCUACCCCAAAUACUUAGCAACUUCCUAGAGUUUAGAUAUUGAACUUGCACUAAUUAAAAUCUCUAAAUCAGAAGGCAGAGAGAGCUGAGGGCUCUGACACUUGACUAGUUGUGUGAGCUUGGGCCAAGUUUCAUGGCCUUCUCAAGCCUUAGUUCUCUCAUCUGUAUACUGGAGAUAAUAAUAGCACCUUCCUCCUAGGACUUGUGUGAGACUUUCGUGAGCUCGGUCCUGCAAAGUGCUCAGCACUACAUUGUUAGCUGAGUAGUAACAGUCACUUUCCUGAAAGCUUCUUCACCCAGAGGGGCUAGCCCAUGCCUGUGCACAAAGAAUGUCAAAUUACAUUCACACCCCCUGAGAUUUCCAAGCUACAGGCCAUUUUCACAGUGGCCACUCUCCAGAAAGCUAAGUCCUGCUGAAAGUAUGUUUCCAAGUUGCCAUCACCUUUAGAAUAUUUCUGAUAAGCAAGCAAAACUGCCUGUGGCCUUUGGCAGUGAAUUUCUGGGGGCUGGUAAGAGGAGGAUGUUUACCAGAGCACAAAGGCCAGGUCAUAAGCAGAGAAUAUUUUGGCCCAGACAGAUCCCAGAGAAGGCAUUUUUGCCAAGCACAGACUCCAUUCUCAGGUCCUGAAGUCAGCAUUAGACACUAAACAAACCUUCCCGGGUUCACAUUUGUUUACUUUUGGCCAAAUGCAACUUCCUGUUUGAAAGGAAAAGGGCAGUAAAGCUUUCUAUAGCCUUCUUGGACAUAAAGGCUCUACUUGAAACAAUUGAUUUGCUAAGGAUAAAUGAAUCAAACGUACACAAUGGGGAUCUCCCCUCCCCUCAAAAUGUUCAUGUUUCAACAGGGAAAGUGCUCAACAAAACCAAAACAAAUAUUUUUUCAACUGCUGGCCAAUGAAGAUUGUUUAGGCCAUUUCUUCUCCUGAGAGCAAGAAAAACAGACAUCAGGAGAGAGCUGAGUUACAUGUGCUGUGUCAGAGAAGUCACUGCGACACACUUGGGGGUUGAGAUUUCAGUUACACAGAAAGUCACAAAGUUGAAGUUCCCACAGCCACUCAAACCACAUUCCCUAGCAUGAACACAGAACAACCAGCUCUUUCAUUACGUGACUACGUCCCAAACCACGUCCUUCAGGAUCCUGAAAUUCCCUCGGAUGCCCAUGCGCCCUGCACCUAGGUUUGAAAACUGACUACCAACCCCACAUAAAUCCACCAUAAGAUUUUACAAGGAUUCAAAAUAACUUACUCUGUGUGAGGAGGUGGGGGAUGGGGAGGGGAGGUCUGUACUUUUAGAGCAUCUAGCAAAGUUAGCAUAAAAUAUAGACUUUAACUUGGGUUUAUAUAUAAAAUGAAGGUGCUCUCUACAAAUCUUGAAUCUCCUUGUCAUAAAAUAUUAAAUUUGUAAAGGACCUUAAAAAUCUUCUGGUCAACCUCCCCCUAUACACAAAUAUAUAAAUAAUAUAGAUGAGGAGUAAAGAGGUCGGGAGACAUUUCCUCCUUAGACUGUAGACGUCUUGCUUCUUAGGGCAAGAACUAUUUUGCUUAUCUUCUUAUUCUUUAACACAGCAUGAACACAAUAAAGACUCAGGAAGAAAGUGACAAAUGAAGAAGUUAAUGAGCUGCCCUGGUCUGCAAAGUCAGGCUCAGCACACAGGACUCUCUCAAUGCUGUGCACUCUGCCCAGUCCUAUCCCUGUAUUUCCACUAGAUUGUAAUCUCCUUGAGGGCUGAAUAUGUCAUUUAUUUGUUUUUUUGGCCAUCAUACCCUGUGCAUUGAA